UACAGAGGUCCCAAGCGUUGUUCGGAUUCAUUGGGCGUAAAGGGUGCGUAGGUGGCGCGGUAAGUCGGGUGUGAAAUCUCGGAGCUUAACUCCGAAACUGCAUUCGAUACUGCCGUGCUUGAGGACUGGAGAGGAGACUGGAAUUUACGGUGUAGCGGUGAAAUGCGUAGAUAUCAGGAGGAACACCGGUGGCGAAGGCGGCAUCCUGGACCAAUUCUGACGCUGAGGAGCGAAAGCCAGGGGAGCAAACGGG
RNAcentral lists this ribosomal RNA (253 nucleotides) under uncultured bacterium. RNAcentral describes it as "partial 16S ribosomal RNA". It matches the Rfam family "Bacterial small subunit ribosomal RNA", at positions 524 to 776 of the family's 1533-position model. The record is from RNAcentral.